Molecule: long non-coding RNA, 2706 nt
Organism: Scatophagus argus
Lineage: Eukaryota; Metazoa; Chordata; Actinopteri; Scatophagidae
Exons: 7
Source: RefSeq, a predicted model, not a curated record
GUGGAAGGAAUGGCAGGGGGUGGGUCCAUAUGUCUGCGAGCCAAUCAUCUCAGGGCAUGAUGACCACGUGAGCCAUUCCAUACACCUGAAAUCAACAGAACAAAAUCAGACAGAUGUGCUAACAGCAGUUCAGUUUAAAUUAAAGUCUUCUUUUUCACUCCACGUGUACGGUGGCUCUUACAGGACAGAAGCUUUAUUUUAUCGCAUUUAGCUUUAAUUUGAUCUGAAUUCUAACAACAGUGCACGUUUUGUUUGUUAACAUUGAGUUGUGAAAUGUCAUCAGGUUAAAAUUAGCGCACGUUAGCAUUCACAUUAGCAUUUCUGUAAAUGAAGCUGUACAUGGUGCGUGCUGGUGUGGCUGUAACAUGUAUGCAGUUAGCAUAGCAUGUUAGCAUGUUGUUGUUUAACAUAAAACAUUCAGCAAACCAGACUGUUCUUAACCACUUUAGCGAGACCACAUUAGCGAGACCACAAUCUUGCCUGUUUAAGAACAUAACACGAACAGAGAAAGUAAUGGAUGUUUACAUGGUGGAGGUUUUUGCAGUCCAGCACAGCCAUGAUGGAACGAGAUCCAUCCAGCCGAGGGAUGAACGGCUCCUUCCAGGAGAUGGAAGCCUGAGGAUCGAUGACGCUGAAAGGCACAGAAAGUUGUCCCUCCAUGGCCAGGUGUACGUUCUGCAGAGGGAAGUUGAAGGGGUUGGUGAAGGAGACGGUCGCAAACAUCUCCUGCCGCACCUGAGGGAGGCCACUUAACUGGAGGAGAAACAACAACAGGAGCAUCAUCAAAGGAUUGUAUUUACAUUAAAGGUAUAAUUCAGGUAUUUUUGUCUGAGUUCUUUGCUCAGGUGUAGGAUUAGCUCCGAUCCUGAGGAACAGAAGAAACUGGAAUGUGUGUGUGUGUGAGUGUGAGAGAGAGUGUGUUUUACCAUCAUGGUGAGCUGCGGCGUCUGCAGGUCAAUCACCUUGAGGGCAGUCACUGAUUGGUCGUCAGCCUGUCCGGUCACAACAAACUGAAUGUCGAGCUGAGAGCCCAGGUGCAGGGCUUCUCCUCUGAUGUUGCUCACUCCGAUUGGCUGGCACAGUGACGGAAAAAUCCUGAUCUUUGAAGUGAUGGGCUGUGACUCCAGUGUAGAAGAUGACGGACCCGGCCAGGUGAGCCUGGACCACCUUGGGGAAUUCAGACAGGUUCUGGAAGUCCACUGCCAGGUUGAUGUCCUCACCCAGCUGGACCUGGAGACGGAGAGGGAUGGAGACGUGUCCUGAGCUGCUUUGGGCACAGGUGUUGUCAAGGGUACUUGUAGUUGCCUUUGAUGUCCACAGGCGACAUGCUGCCGACAGCCUUGGUGAGUACGGCCUGUCCAAUGUGAGAAGUGUCCACUCUGAAUGGAGUCAGAGUCCCGUAACGAUCCCGCUUUUGGAAGACCACGUCGCUGUUCACCUGCAGGGGUAUUUCUACACUGUGCUACUGCCGCUUUUACAAGAGAGCAAGACCUGAAUACUUCAUCCACUUCACAAAUGUUGGGACUGACCUCAGCAAAGACGAACCCACAGUCGAACGGGUGGCAGACCAGGCCUUGCUUAAUGGCUGCGACUGAAGCUGGACCACAGCGAAAAUGUCCUGUGAACCAAACAGAGAGUGGUGUUUACCGUUCACCUGUCCACCUGUCCACCUGUCCGCUCAUCUGUCUGUCUGUCUCGUCCUACCGUCACUGGUCUCCUGGGGUGUGGCGUCCACCACCUGCCAUCCUCCGAGGUCGGGCGGCAGUUGGACCGACCAGAUGGAGUCCCUGGUGUGGCGUUCGUCCGGUGUGCCGUCAGGCUUGAAGAUGAGGUCGGUCUUCAGGUUGCCCGUGUUGUCGUGAGCUGAGCUGAAGUUGGUGAUGACCCUCGCCGGGAUGCCGAGGCAGCGUAGGACUGCAGGGAUACGAAAUAUUUCACUGCCAUUUCAUGCUCAACUUUCUGGUCCUCUGAAAAACACACUCAUGGCUCCACUUUAAGUCUGAUGUUUGCAGUGAUAUUGAGCUUUAAAUAGUCUGUGUACACGACUGCAGUGGUGGAAACAACUCAGCACCGCAACACGUCUUUUUGUAGUUCAAGUACUACCAGUUCCAGUACUUCAGACUACAGGUCUGAAGUUAAGUGAAGACCCUGACAUGACAGCACUCGCUUACAGGUGUUGAAGACUCCGGCGAACACCCAGCACUGGGCGAAACAGACGGGCACUCCGGUGUUGGCGUACUGCAGCAGGAUCUUGACGCUGCCCGUCCAAGAUGUGGGCGGCGUGCCCAUGGAGUAGUCGUCACUCCAGUUGCCAACCAACACGCCGUUAUCAUCCUGAGAGUUGAUCUGAGGGAGCAGAGAAGUCGCAGAUCAGUGACGCUCCGAGACCGAAACCUUCAUUACACACCAGCAAGAACAGAUCAGAUCAGGAGGGACGGCCGGUUGUGUCGUCGGAUUAUUAGCCACGAGCGGGACAGAAAAACUGGGGACUACUGGGACACUGGACUCACCAUGGCUGAUCCUUUCCUGAUCACUUUGAUGAUGUUUCCUCUGUUGUGGAUUGGCAUCUGAGACGCAUCCAGGAUGUAGAUGCAGGCGUCCAGAACACCUCGCUCAAACUGCAGGGGGACGAAACGUUACCUUUAGCGUGUGUGCAUGUGUGUGUGUGCGUGUGUGUGUGCGUGCGUGCGUGCGUGCAUACCUGUC